RNAcentral lists this long non-coding RNA (711 nucleotides) under Ursus maritimus (polar bear). RNAcentral's name for it is "lncRNA (ENSUMAG00000003949.1)". The record is from RNAcentral. Lineage: Eukaryota; Metazoa; Chordata; Mammalia; Carnivora; Ursidae.
CAGGUGGCCUCCUGCUUGGGGUCUGUGGUCUGACGGGGUGCGCUGGGCGCGCUGUUAGUGGACUACACGGGGCGAGAGCGGGGCGGGAGACCUUGAAGACCCUCCCCAGGACCCCUGUGCGGUGGGUGUCCUGUGAGGUGCGCAGUCCUCCCCCGCAGGCGGCAGUUGGAUGCGGAUAAAUAUGAGAAUGAUCCAGAAUUAGAAAAGAUCCGAAAAGAGAGAAACUAUUCCUGGAUGGACAUAAUAACCAUAUGCAAGGAUAAACUACCAAAUUAUGAAGAAAAGUGCGUGCCCCUCUCUCAUCCCACCGAGGACCCCGGCCCCUGGGCCGUCCGCAUACUUACUCGUUUCCCUCGCUACACGCUCAGUGCUUUCGGCCUGGCUGCUCCGCCCGCCCAUCGCAGACGGCGGCCCUUGAGGGGGCGGGAGCCGGUGUGCAGGUCCCUCUCUCAGACUGAGGACGGAGUUGAAGUGACACGGUCACAAGUUACUCAGAUGUACACGGGGCUUCUGACCUUCUGGUGUGAUCUUUGUGACGACCGUGUGUCGUGUGAGGCGCGAGACGACUGCAGUGCGGGUGAGGCCCGUGAGGCUGCCCUGCGCGGCAGGAAGGGAGCAGGAGUCCGGACGUGGUGGCGUGUUGACCGCGCAGCUCGGCUGCGUGCCGUUGGGCAGGUGCCCGGCCCGUGUGGGCCCCGCUCCCUCGAGGGU